Molecule: ribosomal RNA, 467 nt
Filed under: uncultured bacterium
Lineage: Bacteria
Description: partial 16S ribosomal RNA
Rfam family: Bacterial small subunit ribosomal RNA
Source: RNAcentral
GACGAACGCUGGCGGCGUGCUUAACACAUGCAAGUCGAACGGAAAGGCCCUGCUUUUGUGGGGUGCUCGAGUGGCGAACGGGUGAGUAACACGUGAGUAACCUGCCCUUGACUUUGGGAUAACUUCAGGAAACUGGGGCUAAUACCGGAUAGGAGCUCCUGCUGCAUGGUGGGGGUUGGAAAGUUUCGGCGGUUGGGGAUGGACUCGCGGCUUAUCAGCUUGUUGGUGGGGUAGUGGCUUACCAAGGCUUUGACGGGUAGCCGGCCUGAGAGGGUGACCGGCCACAUUGGGACGGGGAUACGGCCCAGACUCUUACGGGAGGCAGCAGUGGGGAAUAUUGCACAAGGGGCGGAAGCCUGAUGCAGCAACGCCGCGUGCGGGAGGACGGCCUCGGGUUGUAAACCGCUUUCGCCUGUGACGAAGCGUGAGUGACGGUAAUGGGUAAAGAAGCACCGGCUAACUACGUG